RNAcentral lists this ribosomal RNA (887 nucleotides) under uncultured bacterium. RNAcentral's name for it is "bacterial SSU rRNA". It matches the Rfam family "Bacterial small subunit ribosomal RNA", at positions 32 to 916 of the family's 1533-position model. The record is from RNAcentral.
UACCUGGCGGAGGCCUAACACAUGCAGUCGAACGGUAACAGAAAGAAGCUUGCUUCUUUGCUGACGAGUGGCGGACGGGUGAGUAAUGCUUGGGAAUUUGCCUUGAGGUGGGGGACAACAGUUGGAAACGACUGCUAAUACCGCAUAUUGUCUACGGACUAAAGGGGGCUUCGGCUCUCGCCUUUAGAGAAGCCCAAGUGGGAUUAGGUAGUUGGUGAGGUAAAGGCUCACCAAGCCGACGAUCCCUAGCUGGUCUGAGAGGAUGAUCAGCCACACUGGAACUGAGACACGGUCCAGACUCCUACGGGAGGCAGCAGUGGGGAAUAUUGCACAAUGGGGGAAACCCUGAUGCAGCCAUGCCGCGUGUGUGAAGAAGGCCUUCGGGUUGUAAAGCACUUUCAGUCGUGAGGAAGGGUUAGUAGUUAAUACCUGCUAGCUUUGACGUUAGCGACAGAAGAAGCACCGGCUAACUCCGUGCCAGCAGCCGCGGUAAUACGGAGGGUGCGAGCGUUAAUCGGAAUUACUGGGCGUAAAGCGUACGCAGGCGGUUAGUUAAGUCAGAUGUGAAAGCCCCGGGCUCAACCUGGGAACUGCAUUUGAAACUGGCUAACUAGAGUGCGACAGAGGGUGGUAGAAUUUCAGGUGUAGCGGUGAAAUGCGUAGAGAUCUGAAGGAAUACCGAUGGCGAAGGCAGCCACCUGGGUCGACACUGACGCUCAUGUACGAAAGCGUGGGUAGCAAACAGGAUUAGAUACCCUGGUAGUCCACGCCGUAAACGAUGUCUACUAGCAGCUCGCCUCGUUAGAGGGGUUUUGCGCAGCUAACGCGUUAAGUUGACCGCCUGGGGAGUACGGCCCGCAAGGUUAAAACUCAAAUGAAUUUGACGG